UACGAAGGGGGCUAGCGUUGCUCGGAAUUACUGGGCGUAAAGCGCACGUAGGCGGCUCUUUAAGUCGGAGGUGAAAUCCUGGAGCUCAACUCCAGAACUGCCUUCGAUACUGAAGAGCUCGAGUCCGGGAGAGGUGAGUGGAACUGCGAGUGUAGAGGUGAAAUUCGUAGAUAUUCGCAAGAACGCCAGUGGCGAAGGCGGCUCACUGGCCCGGUACUGACGCUGAGGUGCGAAAGCGUGGGGAGCAAACAGG
This 253-nucleotide ribosomal RNA is filed under the name uncultured bacterium. RNAcentral describes it as "partial 16S ribosomal RNA". It matches the Rfam family "Bacterial small subunit ribosomal RNA", at positions 524 to 776 of the family's 1533-position model. The record is from RNAcentral.